GCUAGUAAUCGCGAAUCAGAAUGUCGCGGUGAAUACGUUCCCGGGCCUUGUACACACCGCCCGUCACACCAUGAGAGUCGAUAACACCCGAAGCCUGUGAGCUAACCGUAAGGAGGCAGCAGUCGAAGGUGGGGUUGAUGAUUGGGGUGAAGUCGUAACAAGGUAGC
Molecule: ribosomal RNA, 167 nt
Filed under: uncultured bacterium
Lineage: Bacteria
Description: partial 16S ribosomal RNA
Rfam family: Bacterial small subunit ribosomal RNA
Source: RNAcentral